Molecule: long non-coding RNA, 403 nt
Organism: Drosophila arizonae
Lineage: Eukaryota; Metazoa; Arthropoda; Insecta; Diptera; Drosophilidae
Source: RefSeq, a predicted model, not a curated record
ACAAAAUCUAAUACAUCUACGGCUUUAAAAUCUUGUUUGCUUGCCUCAUUCCUAAAUAUGUAGUCUCAAUCCUGGUUAACAGCUUCGCUUAGGAAAUUUAUCGACUCAUGUAGUGCAUACAAUUAAGUGCAUAUGGAGCUAACCUUUUACGGUUCGCUUAAGUGCAAUGAGCACAAUAGUUUGUUUAGCAGAUGACAUUUCAAAGUAUUCGGUGCUCGACUCCACUCGGUUCGCUUUGUUAACCAAUGUGCCAUAAUCUAUACAAAGGAUGCUUUAUGUCUAGGGAUUUUCAUAGUCAUCUCUCUCUCACGCUCUGUCUCUGUCUCUGCCACUAUUGUUGUUUGCUUCGAGUCACGUUAAACAGGAUUCACUGUGCGCCAUUCGGAACACAACAAUAUGACAA